RNAcentral lists this ribosomal RNA (253 nucleotides) under uncultured bacterium. Its description in RNAcentral is "partial 16S ribosomal RNA". It matches the Rfam family "Bacterial small subunit ribosomal RNA", at positions 524 to 776 of the family's 1533-position model. The record is from RNAcentral.
UACAGAGGUCUCAAGCGUUGUUCGGAUUCAUUGGGCGUAAAGGGUGCGUAGGCGGCGCGGUAAGUCGGGUGUGAAAUCUCGGAGCUUAACUCCGAAACUGCAUUCGAUACUGGGAAGCUUGAGUUCGGGAGAGGGAUGUAGAAUUCAAGGUGUAGCGGUGAAAUGCGUAGAUAUCUGGAGGAAUACCGGUGGCGAAGGCGGCAUCCUGGACCGAAACUGACGCUGAGGCGCGAAAGCUAGGGGAGCAAACGGG